This 125-nucleotide ribosomal RNA is filed under the name Oligodon lipipengi. RNAcentral describes it as "Oligodon sp. JChe-2020a partial 16S ribosomal RNA". Lineage: Eukaryota; Metazoa; Chordata; Lepidosauria; Squamata; Colubridae. The record is from RNAcentral.
GCUAACUAUAUAUACAAAUAUAUAUAAUAAACAAACAAAACAUUUGACCAACUCAGUAGAUGAGAUCGAACAGUAAAUAUCUUAGUACCGCAAGGGAAAUAAACAAGCAAUAAAAAGCAAAGAUA